GCCCAGGUGUUGUAACGGUAGCCAAGCUGCCUUGAGGUGGCAGUGUCCGCAAGGACGUGGGAGUUCAAAUCUCCCCCUGGGCA
Molecule: transfer RNA, 83 nt
Filed under: bacterium
Lineage: Bacteria
Description: tRNA-Leu
Source: RNAcentral